CUACGGGCGGCAGCAGUGGGGAAUAUUGCACAAUGGGCGCAAGCCUGAUGCAGCAACGCCGCGUGAACGAAGAAGGUUUUCGGAUCGUAAAGUUCUUUUCUUAGGGAAGAAACCAUGACGGUACCUAAGGAAUAAGCACCGGCUAACUACGUGCCAGCAGCCGCGGUAAUACGUAGGGUGCAAGCGUUAUCCGGAAUCACUGGGCGUAAAGGGUGCGUAGGCGGUCUGACAAGUCAGGAGUGAAAGGCAGUGGCUCAACCAUUGUAAGCUUUUGAAACUGUCGGACUUGAAUGCAGGAGGGGCAAGUGGAAUUCCUAGUGUAGCGGUGAAAUGCGUAGAUAUUAGGAGGAACACCAGUGGCGAAGGCGACUUGCUGGACUGUAAUUGACGCUGAGGCACGAAAGCGUGGGGAGCAAACAGGAUUAGAUACCCGGGUAGUC
RNAcentral lists this ribosomal RNA (440 nucleotides) under uncultured bacterium. RNAcentral describes it as "partial 16S ribosomal RNA". It matches the Rfam family "Bacterial small subunit ribosomal RNA", at positions 339 to 795 of the family's 1533-position model. The record is from RNAcentral.